RNAcentral lists this ribosomal RNA (382 nucleotides) under uncultured bacterium. RNAcentral describes it as "bacterial SSU rRNA". It matches the Rfam family "Bacterial small subunit ribosomal RNA", at positions 923 to 1332 of the family's 1533-position model. The record is from RNAcentral.
GCACAACGAUGGAGCAUGUGGUAAUUUGAUGAUACGAGAGGAACUUACUGGCAAGUAUGUAUGGACCGUGGGUGAAAGCUCUUUGAAUCAAUACACCACCAGUAAGGUGUGCAUGGCGUCGUAGUUCGUGCCGUGAGGGUUGGGUUAAAUACCGCAACGAGCGCAACCCCUAUCUCUAGUUGCCAUCAGGUAAAGAUGGGAACUUUAAAGAAAAGCCGUCGCAAGAAUGAGGAAGGGGGGAGAGUCAAGUAUCAUGGCCCUUUUGCCCAGGGGUACCCACUGUACAAAGGGAGUACAAAGGAUGCCACUGCAACAAGGGGUAAUUCCAAAAAAAUCUUUUCAGUUCAGAUCGCGUCUGCAACUCGACUCCAUAAGCCUGAAU